Molecule: long non-coding RNA, 516 nt
Filed under: Phascolarctos cinereus (koala)
Lineage: Eukaryota; Metazoa; Chordata; Mammalia; Diprotodontia; Phascolarctidae
Description: lncRNA (ENSPCIG00000012227.2)
Source: RNAcentral
UGCCAAGAGAUUUCAACACUCCUUCUGAUUGCCUUCUUUGCAGACUGAAUGAAGUUCAUGCCCUUCCAGACCUUCUGUUCAUGUCCCUCUGGAGAGCAGGAGUGGUUUUCAUAUCUUGAAGAUGUAGUGUUACUGUGGCAAUGGGCAAGUUGUUUUCCCAAUAUUUGCAUCUUCCCUCGAGUAACCUUGUGUUUUGGGCCAGCUUGAGCUCAGAGCCUUUCAUCCCUGACGGCAAGGAGGAAGAAAGGGGAUUUGUUUGGGACAAAGAAUCUUACUCAACACUUCCAGGAACUCAGAGAAAAACAUAAAGAAUUGAAUAAGCAUCUGACUAAGCAAUGUUACCUUGGAAACAAGAAACUAUGUUAAUUAAGAAGGAUAUCACUUGUCCAGGUAAAUAUAUAGAUGGGGUCCAUCUGUUUUCUGUUUCUUAGACUUCUGUGUUACUAAUAUCACCAUACAUUAAGCAGACAAGCAAGAGAAUUUCUGAAUUAAGGCUACUGAUCGACUGAUAUUAAC